Molecule: unclassified non-coding RNA, 231 nt
Filed under: plant metagenome
Description: partial contains small subunit ribosomal RNA, internal transcribed spacer 1, and 5.8S ribosomal RNA
Rfam family: 5.8S ribosomal RNA (bases 183-231)
Source: RNAcentral
UUUCCGUAGGUGAACCUGCGGAAGGAUCAUUCAUAAUAAAGUGUUUUAUGGCACUUUUUAAAAAUCCAUAUCCACCUUGUGUGCAAUGUUAGAUCUCGUCAAUCUUGGCGAGAUUUUUAUACAUCAACUCAUUCUUUAACUAAUUUGUCUGAAAAAUAUUAUGAAUACUUAAUUCAAAAUACAACUUUCAACAACGGAUCUCUUGGCUCUCGCAUCGGUGAAGAACGCAGC